This 504-nucleotide ribosomal RNA is filed under the name uncultured bacterium. RNAcentral describes it as "bacterial SSU rRNA". It matches the Rfam family "Bacterial small subunit ribosomal RNA", at positions 9 to 526 of the family's 1533-position model. The record is from RNAcentral.
GAGUUUGAUCCUGGCUCAGGACGAACGCUGGCGGCGCGCCUAACACAUGCAAGUCGAACGAGCGAGAGAGAGCUUGCUUUCUCGAGCGAGUGGCGAACGGGUGAGUAACGCGUGAGGAACCUGCCUCAAAGAGGGGGACAACAGUUGGAAACGACUGCUAAUACCGCAUAAGCCCACGAUCCGGCAUCGGAUUGAGGGAAAAGGAUUUAUUCGCUUCAGGAUGGACUCGCGUCCAAUUAGCUAGUUGGUGAGGUAACGGCCCACCAAGGCGACGAUUGGUAGCCGGACUGAGAGGUUGAACGGCCACAUUGGGACUGAGACACGGCCCAGACUCCUACGGGAGGCAGCAGUGGGGAAUAUUGCACAAUGGGGGAAACCCUGAUGCAGCGACGCCGCGUGGAGGAAGAAGGUCUUCGGAUUGUAAACUCCUGUUGUUGGGGAAGAUAAUGACGGUACCCAACAAGGAAGUGACGGCUAACUACGUGCCAGCCGCCGCGGUAAUAC